AUUGAACGCUGGCGGCAGGCCUAACACAUGCCAGUCGAGCGGAUGAAGGGAGCUUGCUCCUGGAUUCAGCGGCGGACGGGUGAGUAAUGCCUAGGAAUCUGCCUGGUAGUGGGGGAUAACGCCCGGAAACGGGCGCUAAUACCGCAUACGUCCUGAGGGAGAAAGUGGGGGAUCUUCGGACCUCACGCUAUCAGAUGAGCCUAGGUCGGAUUAGCUAGUUGGUGGGGUAAAGGCCUACCAAGGCGACGAUCCGUAACUGGUCUGAGAGGAUGAUCAGUCACACUGGAACUGAGACACGGUCCAGACUCCUACGGGAGGCAGCAGUGGGGAAUAUUGGACAAUGGGCGAAAGCCUGAUCCAGCCAUGCCGCGUGUGUGAAGAAGGUCUUCGGAUUGUAAAGCACUUUAAGUUGGGAGGAAGGGCAGUAAGUUAAUACCUUGCUGUUUUGACGUUACCAACAGAAUAAGCACCGGCUAACUUCGUG
This 484-nucleotide ribosomal RNA is filed under the name uncultured bacterium. RNAcentral's name for it is "partial 16S ribosomal RNA". It matches the Rfam family "Bacterial small subunit ribosomal RNA", at positions 30 to 507 of the family's 1533-position model. The record is from RNAcentral.